GUGGGGAAUUUUGGACAAUGGGCGCAAGCCUGAUCCAGCAAUGCCGCGUGCAGGAAGAAGGCCUUCGGGUUGUAAACUGCUUUUGUACGGAACGAAAAGGUCUGGGUUAAUACCCUGGGCUCAUGACGGUACCGUAAGAAUAAGCACCGGCUAACUACGUGCCAGCAGCCGCGGUAAUACGUAGGGUGCGAGCGUUAAUCGGAAUUACUGGGCGUAAAGCGUGCGCAGGCGGUUUUGUAAGACAGAGGUGAAAUCCCCGGGCUCAACCUGGGAGCUGCCUUUGUGACUGCAAGGCUGGAGUGCGGCAGAGGGGGAUGGAAUUCCGCGUGUAGCAGUGAAAUGCGUAGAUAUGCGGAGGAACACCGAUGGCGAAGGCAAUCCCCUGGGCCUGCACUGACGCUCAUGCACGAAAGCGUGGGGAGCAAACAGGAUUAGAAACCCUGGUAGUCC
This 450-nucleotide ribosomal RNA is filed under the name uncultured bacterium. RNAcentral's name for it is "partial 16S ribosomal RNA". It matches the Rfam family "Bacterial small subunit ribosomal RNA", at positions 354 to 796 of the family's 1533-position model. The record is from RNAcentral.